This 86-nucleotide transfer RNA is filed under the name Bacillota bacterium. RNAcentral describes it as "Firmicutes bacterium (anaerobic digester metagenome) tRNA-Leu". It matches the Rfam family "tRNA". Rfam says of the family: Transfer RNA (tRNA) molecules are approximately 80 nucleotides in length. Their secondary structure includes four short double-helical elements and three loops (D, anti-codon, and T loops). Lineage: Bacteria; Bacillati; Bacillota. The record is from RNAcentral. RNAcentral also lists the same sequence under 1 other name.
GCAGGCGUGGCGGAACUGGCAGACGCGCUAGACUUAGGAUCUAGUGGGCACCCCCCGUGAGAGUUCGACUCUCUCCGCCUGCACCA